UGCAAUCACGUAAGGGAUCCUGAGUGAGAACCGUCUAGGUUUGUGCAGUCUUUGAAGAUUCUCAUUCAACCCUAUGAUGCCUUCCAAUAGUCAGAGAGAUCCCUCAUCCUGAAACACACUUCUGAUCUCUGUCUCUAUGAGCAAACACAUCAGAAAAUGCACUGUUGAG
Suricata suricatta (meerkat) is the source of this 169-nucleotide long non-coding RNA. RefSeq lists it as uncharacterized. The transcript has 3 exons. The record is from RefSeq and is a predicted model, not a curated record. NCBI's taxonomy places the organism in Eukaryota, Metazoa, Chordata, Mammalia, Carnivora, Herpestidae.